CCACGCAGUAAACGAUGAUAACUGGGCGUAUGCGAUAUACCGUAUGCUCCUAAGCGAAAGCGUUAAGUUAUCCACCUGGGGAGUACGCCGGCAACGGUGAAACUCAAAGGAAUUGACGGGGGCCCGCACAAGCGGAGGAACAUGUGGUUUAAUUCGAUGAUACGCGAGGAACCUUACCCGGGAUUGAAAUGUAGAUGACAGGCGAUGAGAGUUGCUUUUCCUUCGGGACAUCUAUGUAGGUGCUGCAUGGUUGU
Molecule: ribosomal RNA, 254 nt
Filed under: uncultured bacterium
Lineage: Bacteria
Description: partial 16S ribosomal RNA
Rfam family: Bacterial small subunit ribosomal RNA
Source: RNAcentral